RNAcentral lists this transfer RNA (71 nucleotides) under Sphaerodactylus townsendi. RNAcentral's name for it is "tRNA-Thr". It matches the Rfam family "tRNA". From Rfam's summary of the family: Transfer RNA (tRNA) molecules are approximately 80 nucleotides in length. Their secondary structure includes four short double-helical elements and three loops (D, anti-codon, and T loops). Lineage: Eukaryota; Metazoa; Chordata; Lepidosauria; Squamata; Sphaerodactylidae. The record is from RNAcentral.
GGGGUUGUGGCUCAGUGGUACAAUCUCUGCUUGGUAUGUAGAAGGUCCCGGUUCAAUUCCCGACAUCCCCA